This 218-nucleotide long non-coding RNA is filed under the name Lathyrus oleraceus (garden pea). RNAcentral's name for it is "Pisum sativum (pea) long non-coding RNA (PSAT_LNC006711)". The record is from RNAcentral. Lineage: Eukaryota; Viridiplantae; Streptophyta; Magnoliopsida; Fabales; Fabaceae.
UUUUAAUUUUAAAUUUCAUUUUCAGUUUAAAUUCAUAAAAAAAUCAUUUUGCUUCCAAAAAAUCCCAAAAUAAUUUCUGAAAUUCUCUUUUAUCUUUCUCCAUCUGAUUUUUAUUUUUCCAUAUUUUAUUUUAUUGAUUUUCUUUUUUUUUGUGGAAUUUUUCUCUUCUCUUUUGUUUUAAUUGGUUUAAAAAUACUUUUCUGCAUUUUUAAAUUCUG